UACGGGGGGGGCAAGCGUUGUUCGGAAUUACUGGGCGUAAAGGGCUCGUAGGUGGCCAACUAAGUCAGACGUGAAAUCCCUCGGCUUAACCGGGGAACUGCGUCCGAUACUGGAUGGCUUGAGUAUGGGAGAGGGAUGCGGAAUUCCAGGUGUAGCGGUGAAAUGCGUAGAUAUCUGGAGGAACACCGGUGGCGAAGGCGGCAUCCUGGACCAUUACUGACGCUGAGGAGCGAAAGCCAGGGGAGCAAACGGG
Molecule: ribosomal RNA, 253 nt
Filed under: uncultured bacterium
Lineage: Bacteria
Description: partial 16S ribosomal RNA
Rfam family: Bacterial small subunit ribosomal RNA
Source: RNAcentral